CGCAAGUCGAGCGGCAGCACGGACUUCGGUCUGGUGGCGAGUGGCGAACGGGUGAGUAAUACAUCGGAACGUGUCCUGGAGUGGGGGAUAGCCCGGCGAAAGCCGGAUUAAUACCGCAUACGCUCUGUGGAGGAAAGGGGGGGAUCUUAGGACCUCUCGCUCAAGGGGCGGCCGAUGGCAGAUUAGCUAGUUGGUGGGGUAAAGGCCUACCAAGGCGACGAUCUGUAGCUGGUCUGAGAGGACGACCAGCCACACUGGGACUGAGACACGGCCCAGACUCCUACGGGAGGCAGCAGUGGGGAAUUUUGGACAAUGGGCGCAAGCCUGAUCCAGCAAUGCCGCGUGUGUGAAGAAGGCCUUCGGGUUGUAAAGCACUUUUGUCCGGAAAGAAAACCUCUGUCCUAAUACGGCGGGGGGAUGACGGUACCGGAAGAAUAAGCACCGGCUAACUACGUGCCAGCAGCCGCGGUAAUACGUAGGGUGCAAGCGUUAAUCGGAAUUACUGGGCGUAAAGCGUGCGCAGGCGGUCCGCUAAGACAGAUGUGAAAUCCCCGGGCUUAACCUGGGAACUGCAUUUGUGACUGGCGGGCUAGAGUAUGGCAGAGGGGGGUAGAGUUCCACGUGUAGCAGUGAAAUGCGUAGAGAUGUGGAGGAAUACCGAUGGCGAAGGCAGCCCCCUGGGCCAAUACUGACGCUCAUGCACGA
Molecule: ribosomal RNA, 705 nt
Filed under: uncultured Burkholderia sp.
Lineage: Bacteria; Pseudomonadati; Pseudomonadota; Betaproteobacteria; Burkholderiales; Burkholderiaceae
Description: bacterial SSU rRNA
Rfam family: Bacterial small subunit ribosomal RNA
Source: RNAcentral